RNAcentral lists this long non-coding RNA (1515 nucleotides) under Apteryx owenii (little spotted kiwi). Its description in RNAcentral is "lncRNA (ENSAOWG00000007068.1)". Lineage: Eukaryota; Metazoa; Chordata; Aves; Apterygiformes; Apterygidae. The record is from RNAcentral.
GGGCUGGGGGUUGCUGGGCUGGGGGGGUUGGGGAAGGGGCUCAGUUCACAGUUCUACUCUUCUGGGAAACAAAAAUAAUUAAAAAGACAGUCUAUCGAGUGUAUUUAUCUUUGGUACCAGCAAGCACCAGAAAAUGAGAGCAGAAUAGACCUGUUACUUUGAAAAGCCCUUGAAUACCCUUAGAAAAAAAGGAGCAAAACAGGCAAGCCAGAUCUCUAUCCCAAAGCUUCUGUGUUGCAGAUAAUCAGAGAGCAGCCUUCCUCCUGAACGCAGGCAGCGUGAGACCAGGCUGUUUCACUUCAAGGAACGCCGAGGCAGGCACCCCCUGACAGAAACGAAGAGUUUUUGAGAAAGGAAUGGAAACCAAAGAAUAUUUGAGGCUACAAGAUGGGCUGAGAAUGCGGAGGGAAUUCGCUGCCCGGCACAUUCUAACAUCAAAGCACCACUGUUUGCUUUGCAUACGCACUGAGCAAACGUGACAUCUGCACGUUUUUGCUGUGACAUAUCUUUCCUUUGCAACAAAACAAGACUCUGCUGCUCCACGGAACAAAGUACUUUAACAGAAUAAAGAAAAGGCAGUGAAAGACACCUGCUUCCAUGCACAUGGACUAAUACAUUCAGCUGUACCUUUAUAGAUAUCUGAGGACAUUUAAUGGAUAACAGAUGAAAUUGGUUUCCUUAUGGAACAUAUAACAUUCAGAAGCUGAUUCGCCUAUAGAUAACAUUAAAGAAUAUUUGGCUGCAGGUUAACAUGGACCACUUUGAGAGUUCAGAAUGGAGAGAAAUCACUGGACACCAUGCAGCCCUCCCUUGACAAGCCUGUCCUCCUUCCAUGGCAAGCUCUGUCCCUUUAUCCUCCUGAGAAUGAAACCAGUAUGGAUCAAGGAGAGAGAGGGCAGUCCCUGAAGGCAAUCACAUCCCCAAUUGCCCACUUUCUGCUUGGGGAAAAAUUCAGGAAGGAAAAUGACAAGAGUACAGCAUAAAGCCAUAGUGUCUCUGCCACCUGAUCAGCCAACAGAUCAGAAAAAGUGGCCAGCAGCUUCUUUCACUGCCUACAUCUGAGGCAUGAGGUCGCAGAGCUGGAGAGACGCCAGAGAACUGUGCUGCAGCUACGCAUGUGCUCCACCAGCACCCUGCACUCAGCGGGGCUCCACUCACUGAAAUGGCAGCUCAGGACCACAUUCCUGCUCUUCACAGGACCCAGGAAAGGAAGAAACUGGAGACUAAUUGUGUGAAUUCUCCAGACAAAGGCAACACUAGCCAGCGUGGCAAGUGCUGCUUCAAGGUCAAAGACCAUUUACGCUGUGCUCCUCCCUGCAUGAGGGAAUAUUAGUCUCCUUUAGGUCCAGUUUGCUCACUUAGCCUUAAGCAAAAGGUUUAGGAUUAGGCCUAAAUGAGUUAUUUACACUAAGGAAUAACUCAUGGGUCAGGUUCAAGAAGAAGCAUUGGAAUAAGCAGUGCAAGACUGCCACAAAAUUGAAUAAACUCAAAUGUUACCAUAAUUUCUGGGAAGAA